CCAGCCGUAAACGAUGGGUACUAGGUGUUGUCACUUCAUUGUGGCAGUGCCGGAGUUAACGCAAUAAGUACCCCGCCUGGGGAGUACGGCCGCAAGGCUGAAACUCAAAGGAAUUGACGGGGGCCCGCACAAGCGGUGGAGCAUGUGGUUUAAUUCGAAGCAACGCGUAGAACCUUACCAGGGCUUGACAUCCCUCUGACUGGCAUAGAGAUAUGCCUUCUCUUCGGAGCAGAGGAGACAGGUGG
This 245-nucleotide ribosomal RNA is filed under the name uncultured Selenomonadales bacterium. RNAcentral's name for it is "partial 16S ribosomal RNA". It matches the Rfam family "Bacterial small subunit ribosomal RNA", at positions 796 to 1041 of the family's 1533-position model. Lineage: Bacteria; Bacillati; Bacillota; Negativicutes; Selenomonadales. The record is from RNAcentral.